UCUAUGAGCCUGGGUCUGGAGUAGGGCGUAACCUAUGAGAGGAGGAAAGCUGCCAUCUCCAGUGCCUCUGAGGUACAGUAUGGCCAGGCCACAUCCCCCAGCUGCCUCUUGAUUCCUGCUGGAGGGUAUGUCUAGGCCAGAACGCUUUUGGUAAGAGACUGCCUCCCUGGGGGCUUAUUUCCUAACAGUCAGAAACAAAAAAAGACACGGGUACCUUGAAGUGCGAUGCUGCGCUCCCUAACCCCUUUGAAUGGCAUCCACAGCUCCCAGAGUGUUUAUAAAGAAGCUGCCAAAAGUCUUUUUGACCUGAAAAUACAGACACCCUGAGCCCUAUGAUACGCCUGAAGGACCAGGGUGCCUCACUCAGAGGUGCGGGCAGCCCCCUGAGCUCCCCGGACAGACCUCAGCUGGGGCACCUACACCACUCGAAGAGCAGUGGCACCCUUGGAGUGCUGCCCCCUCCUUCCCGAGUCGUGGGGCUACAGGUCACCAACUUAUUUGUUCCUCCUGCUCAGUUUAAUGAACAUUGAGGGGAUUUUUUUUUCCCUCCUUGGCACACCUGGAAGGAUGAAGUACAUCCCUCCUCUUCCUCCAGAGAAGACUGUAAGCCUCAGGCUAAGAGUCUUUCUUCGAGGCUUAGAGAAUCGCCUGGGGCAAAACUGAGAAUAGAUUUGUCAUUUCCUUGACAAGUGGUGAUCAGAAAUCUGUUCAGGGAAGGUGGCACUUAAUAUUUUAAAAGUGGUGGCUGGAACUGUAUUUCAUGAAGGCCUUGAUUCCAUGGGAUGUUAAGGUGCUCUAAGAAAACAGUGGCUCAAGACUUUCAUGGGGACAGAGGCAAAGAAAUUCCCUGUUUCUGCGUCUCCUUUGAAUUUAAGUAUGCCUGAACUGGAGGCCUAAGUCUUGGGCAGUUUUGGGCAUGGACACCUUUUGAACUUAGGAUCCACCAGAGUGAGGCAACAACCAAGCUGUUUGAGAGGUGCCACCUCACUCCUGAAAACCGUGUUCUGUAGGUGAUGCUCAAAUUCCCAAGCUAUGCAGCCUGCUUGACUUCAGAUGUAAUCAUUCUUCUCUGAAAGGUCAAGGCACAAGAAGGAAUGCCUCAAUCAUUUAAUCUAGCACCUCUACAUCAAGUUUUCCUUUUUUUCCCCUCCAGCCUACCCUGAGUUAGCUGCUGUUACUGAUCCAUCCUCCUGCCAGUGGGAGGGAAGAGUCUUGUGCCCUCCCUCAUGUGGCCUUCAAGGUCCAUCUGAUACUUUGCUGAGGUUUUGGUGUUCUGCACCUAGACCUUGUACAGAGAGCUAUUGGCUUACCUUCCUAGCCUGUCUUUUUUUCUUUAACUGAAAGGUAUAACUCCUAAACUGCAGCUUCUGACGUGUGCAGUGCUCUAGAUAAGAUCUUGCUGACCCUGUAAGACACUUCACAAUAAAAGAAAUUAUUUUGUUGCAUCAGUAUGAUUUAUGAGUAUUGAAAUGUAGACAAGGAUCCUAGCAAGGGAGAUAGAAAUCUGAUAUGAGGAAAAGAGAUGCUGUUUGGGUACACAAAUUGGGAACACUAAUGUCCUUGUUACAGCUCUGGAGAAAUUGGAUCAGGUUAACCAUAUGAUCGAAAAUAUAAUGGAGUGUCACAUUAAUUUUAAAGACCUCAGUAAAUCAGUAAGCGUCUUGAAGGGUGAAACAGAUGUCCUAAGCUUGAAUAUUCAUCUUUGUCUCCAAUAGGUUUUAUACUAAUCUAGCUGUGUUACUGAAGUUCUAUAAGUUGGUGAAGCAACCAUCUUUCACUUAGUAUCUGCACCAGGCACAGUAUAAGACAUAUGUAAAUUCACUGAAGAAACUGAAUCAUCAGAGAAGAGGAACUUUUCUGAUGCUUGACUAGCAUGGUAAUGGAAGAGAAAAACACAGAACUGAGCAGAAAGUCAGACCUACCCUAAAUAAGCAUGACCCUGAGAAAAAGCCCAGAGGGGCAGGUUUGGAAAUACGCUGUCUGGAAGAGACUUGGUAGAAGCACAAGAAACUGCCUCUGUUUUCUUAAUCCCUCCAAUGCCUGAAGGAACAGUGCUCAGAAAUUUUGUGAGAAACAGCAUUGCAUCAAUUUCUCCUAAGCACAGUAACUUGCAAGGCCUCCACAUUUUUGGCCAGAAAGAGUCUUUGAUUUGCUGUUUUGCAGCUGCCUUAGGAUCAGGUUUUUAAACAUUUUAUAACUGCAUCCUUUUUUCCCCCAGUUUAUGCCAUUUUAGCAGGCUUGUCUAUGGCCGGUACAUAUUGUCACUCCUCUGCCAGGUAGGAACAGAUUUGAAGCUUUGCAGGUUGCUGUCCUGUUGAGCAAGAAACCUGUGCUGCAGGAAUGAUUUUAUUUAUUUAUUUAUUUGCUUUACCUGCACACACUGUGUGUGUAGAUACAGACAGAAAACAGAUUCAAGAAAAUACCUUGUUGAACUACGUGCAGCCACCAGCACCACAUGGCUCCUGCUGCACAGCCUCCACUGGUGACCGAGCCUAACUUUCGCUGUUUGUCUAUCACUGGCAUGUACUGACCGCUACGUGUUCAGUCACUUAUUUAACCCUGUCAAGAGAUUGAAGAGAAAGGUUAAAAUAGAGGUGUGCAAAAGAUUACUUAGUACCAUUGAAUUUCAUGUCUUUUCUACUAAUAGAUAAGACAAUUUCUGUCUAACAUAUUUUUGACUGAGUUGUAGGCUAUGGCAGCAAGAAAAGCCAUUUUUAUGUCUUUCUGCUGUUUCCUAGUUCAGGUGCUUUCUUUUAUUCACUGUUCUAUUUCUUUGCUUUGUAUUAGAAGGUUUGAACAUUUUGUCUUGUUUUCCCUAUUUCUCAAUGUUCCUAAUAAAAACUACAGCAAUAAAAGACAAAUUCACUCUU
Long non-coding RNA from Harpia harpyja (harpy eagle), 2870 nucleotides. RefSeq lists it as uncharacterized. The transcript is spliced from 2 exons. The record is from RefSeq and is a predicted model, not a curated record. Lineage: Eukaryota; Metazoa; Chordata; Aves; Accipitriformes; Accipitridae.